This is a non-coding RNA of Pelobates cultripes (western spadefoot toad), 230 nucleotides long. NCBI's taxonomy places the organism in Eukaryota, Metazoa, Chordata, Amphibia, Anura, Pelobatidae. The record is from the annotation of a GenBank genome assembly.
GGCUGAUUCUCCUCCUUGCCAAGGUAACACGCAGCAAUGCUCCGGCCAGCCUGCUCACAGGAGGAAUACAGAGCCUUCCAGGCCCUUAUCUCCCUUUGCUGGUACUAAGUGCCAGCCGGCUGGUGAGAGAAAUCUUUGGCGACAGGGCUUACAGCAAGGCUGGCUCUGCAUGGGCUGGCAGCGGAGAUGAAAGGAUCUCCCCUGCUGGUCUUGGUCCACAGCCAUCGAAC